This is a long non-coding RNA of Lycium barbarum (goji berry), 507 nucleotides long. RefSeq lists it as uncharacterized. The transcript is spliced from 3 exons. Lineage: Eukaryota; Viridiplantae; Streptophyta; Magnoliopsida; Solanales; Solanaceae. The record is from RefSeq and is a predicted model, not a curated record.
AAGCAGAUCGAGUUUGGAACUUGGAAAAAAAUAAAAAAAUUAUGGUGGAACUCAACGGGGAUGGACAAGGAAGUGAUAAUGGUUCAAACUUGCUUGUUAGAUUUCUUGGAAAACUUUCACAAAAGUCAAUAAUUUGUCCAAUAUCAGUUGAGAGAUGGGAUAGAAUGCCAGACGCGAAAAAUCGCCUACAGUGGCAGCUUAUUGAGGAGAAUUUUGAGUUUGAUUAUGCUGUUGGAAUUAAAUGGGUGAUGCAUACUUUACGCGAUAGAUGGAGGGCCUAUAAAUAUACAUUAAGAAAUAAAACCUUCUACCCUAACAAAAGUAAGUAAGAGAUACUUGCUAAUCCUCCGGAAUACGUGGAUUCUAUUGAGUGGGCUGCUUUUGUGCAUCACUAUCAAGAAGAGAAGAUGAAGAAACAAAGUGAACAAAAUACAAGAAAUCGAAGUACACUUAAAGUCCCGCAUGCCGGUGGUAGCAAAAGCAAUGCAAGGAGAGGUCGUCAAAUGG